Molecule: long non-coding RNA, 839 nt
Organism: Anopheles cruzii
Lineage: Eukaryota; Metazoa; Arthropoda; Insecta; Diptera; Culicidae
Exons: 4
Source: RefSeq, a predicted model, not a curated record
CAAGGACUGUGAGCUCGUGUUGUUCAAUUUGAAAGAACUGAUUUCGCACCGAAAACAGCAUAAACCUCCGAAGAGAAAGGACCCUGACCAAGACCGGGAAAUUUAUGAAUGUACGGACUGCUCGAAAUGUUUUCCAACCGAAGUAGCUGUGGAUAGACACAUCGCAUACGUCCAUUAUCCAACAAAGUUGUACAUGUGCGAAUUUUGUUCGAAAUCUUUCAAAGACAAAGCAUAUUACAACAUUCACAGAAAAUUGAUACACUUGAAGCAGUGGACGCCAGUACAAUGCACAAUUUGUGACAAGUGGCUAAAAGACACUACUUACUUAUCCACCCAUAUGAGGUUGUCUCAUACAACCAGGAACUGGCCUUGUAAGAGAUGUGGUAAGGUUUUCUUGACCAAUGUGAAUCUACAAUCGCACGUCCGCGCCAGCCACACGAAAAGAAACUUUCGGUGCAACGUCUGCGGAAAGUGUUUUUUCGUGAAAUCAAUUUUAAAGGAACAUUUGGCCUUGCAUACCGGUGGGUAUCUCUAUACCUGUUUACACUGUCCAAAGAUGUUUAACUCGCACUCUAAUAUGAUUGCGCACAAGAAAAAAAUGCAUUUUUUGGAGUGGAAAAAAGAUCGUGAACAGUAUCUAAAUCGGUAUAAUCCAGCCCAUAUAACUGGUGGAGCUGCAAAAGGUGAAACAACAGGAAUGCUUAGCAUUGGAAGCAAAAAGGCCUGAAACAUGAAAAGCAUUGUUGUGAUAACUUUGUGAGGAAGGAGCCACAAAACAGUUCAUCUCGAAAUUUGCCCAGAAAAAAAUGGAAUAGAAUUAAGGCACCUAUUCUGAAUAA